CCAACGGCACUUUUCAGUGCCACGCAAACAUCAAAACACUUUUCC
Molecule: non-coding RNA, 45 nt
Organism: Danio rerio (zebrafish)
Lineage: Eukaryota; Metazoa; Chordata; Actinopteri; Cypriniformes; Danionidae
Source: Rfam